CCCUUAGAUGUUCUGGGCCGCACGCGCGCUACACUGAUGCAUUCAACGAGCCUAUCCUUGACCGACAGGUCCGGGUAAUCUUUAAAUCUGCAUCGUGACGGGGAUAGAUUAUUGCAAUUAUUAAUCUUCAACGAGGAAUGCCUAGUAGGCGCAAGUCAUCAGCUUGCGUCGAUUACGUCCCUGCCCUUUGUACACACCGCCCGUCGCUCCUACCGAUUGGGUGUGCUGGUGAAAUGUUCGGAUCGGCCGUUUGUCGCGGUUUCCGCGUCAUGUGGCUGAGAAGUUCAUUAAACCCUCCCACCUAGAGGAAGGAGAAGUCGUAACA
Molecule: ribosomal RNA, 325 nt
Filed under: uncultured eukaryote
Lineage: Eukaryota
Description: partial 18S ribosomal RNA
Rfam family: Eukaryotic small subunit ribosomal RNA
Source: RNAcentral